AAAAUACUAAUAUGACCUUCUCUUCCCUUUGAUCUCCAAAUUUUCUUUAGUGCCAUAUACAUAUAUAUAUUUACAAAAGUUUGAGAUCUAGCAAAGAUGCAAAAUAUCAAAACUACAAUAGAUCUUCCCAAAAUCAAGCCAAUAAAAAAGAAAUUAGAUGAAGUUGUACACACUUCCAAUGUUGAAGUGUAUUAUGGGAAUGCACCAUUGGCUAUUCCAUUCAAGUGGGAAUCUCAACCAGGAACACCAAAAGUCAAGAUUCUUGAAACCCCACUUCCUCCUCUAACUCCACCACCAUCAUAUCUUGAGAAGAAAAUGAAAAAUGCCAUACAAAAGCAAACAAAGGGCAAAUUAUUACGAAGGCUUUUUUUCCUUCCCAAGUUAAACUUGAGAAAAAGUCAUCUACAAUCAUCUCCUACUAGUUCAUCAUCAUCAUCAUCAUGUGUGCCAAUAAAAUGCUACUUUAAUUCUCUUGUAGGUUCCCAGCUGACUAGAUUGUCCCCCUAGUGGUGAGUGGUGUAAUGCCUCAAAGAUUUUUCUCCUGAGAUUUCCGUUAUUCCCUAUAUAUAUUCUUUGCUCAUACCUGAUGAUAUCCUACUGUAUUGUAUUGUUAGACUUUCCAAUAGAAUCUGUAAUCAACUGUGUCAGUAGUUGUAGAAAAACUAGAUCAUGCUCAUAACUACUUAUUAUCUCUUGCAUCCAAGUAGGCCCUACCGCUGUGAUAGAAAUCAAUAUAGGCUCUUCACUCAUUCUCCUAUAUAUUUCAUCAACCACUUUGUUUUCUGCUCUUUUUUUUGUAUUGAACUUCAUAAUCUAUCCCUUUUAGUUUAGCUAGGCCUCUGUGUUGUAAUGCAGUGGUAAUCUUUGCUCCAAUAAGUACUUAAGACUCUGAUGGUCAGUCCUAAUAAUAAAAUGCCCUCCUUAUAGAUAAUGCCUCCACUUAUCUACUACAGUUAAGACUGUCAUAUACUCCUUCUCAUAGGUAGAAAUUACCUAAUACUUAGGGGGAUAUUGAUUUACUGAGAUGUGCUAAGGACCUUCUUUCCUGCAUAAGGACUGCCUCUAUCUUUGUGGAACAAGCUUUAGUUUCUACUAUAAACACCUUAGUAAAAUCAGUCAAAGACAAAGUUGGGGUAGUUGUUAUUGCCACCUUCAAUUUCUAGAAGGCAAUAUCUCCUUUCUCACUCUAUUGAAAUGAAUUCUUUUUCAGAAAAUUGAUUAGGGUUUACUAAUGCUUCAUAAGACUAUAAAACCUCCUAUAAUACCCUCUUAGGCCUAGGAAUCCCCUAAAUACUUUGAGGGUCUUGAUGUAGGCCAAGUGAUCAUAGCUGAUAUCUUGGUUGGAUCAGUCAUCACCCCACUUCUUGUAAUUAUAUGACCCAAUUACAUGUACAAACUAUCUUUAAUAGUCUUGAAAUACAUGAUUCAUAAGGCCUUGAAAAGUUACAGAAGCAUUAGCGAGACUAAAAGGCAUCACCUUAAACUCAUAAUGACCCAAAUGUGUCCUGAAGGCUAUUUUAUACACAUUAUCUUCACUCAUCCUUAUUUGGUGAUACCCAACCCUUAAGUCAAUUUUAGAGAACACUUGUGAUCCACUGAGUUCAUCUAAUAGAUCAUUCACAAAAUGAAUAGGGAACUUGUACUUGAUAGUUAGUUUAUUUAAUUACCUAUAAUCAAUGCAAAAUCUUCAUCUACCAUCCUCCUUUUUUACUAGUAAAACUGGUGAUAAAAUCGAGAUGACUAGGCUGAAUAAUGCCACUGUUUAGUAUUUCUUUUACUUGUUUUUCAAUAUUAUUUUUCUGGAAAAAAUUAUACUUGUAUGGUCUGAUACUGACUGAAUUGCCUCUAGUUUCAAGGGAAUAUAGUGAUGAUGUUGUCUUUUGGAGGUAAUGUAAAUGGUUCUUUAAAAACAUGCUAUUAAUCUCUGCAUGUAUAGUCUUUUCUUCAUUGACCUCCUCUGCAGCAACAGUAAAUAAAUGUGCCCACAACCGCUUCCCCUUUUUAAACCAUUACUUGACAUUAACUGUUGACAUGCUCUACAAUUCUACUACAUUAUAUAUCCCAUUAAGCUCCAAUCUCUUUCCCUCUACUACAGUUAAGACUGUCAUAUACUCCUUCUCAUAGGUAGAAAUUACCUAAUACUUAGGGGGAUAUUGAUUUACUGAGAUGUGCUAAGGACCUUCUUUCCUGCAUAAGGACUGCCUCUAUCUUUGUGGAACAAGCUUUAGUUUCUACUAUAAACACCUUAGUAAAAUCAGUCAAAGACAAAGUUGGGGUAGUUGUUAUUGCCACCUUCAAUUUCUAGAAGGCAAUAUCUCCUUUCUCACUCUAUUGAAAUGAAUUCUUUUUCAGAAAAUUGAUUAGGGUUUACUAAUGCUUCAUAAGACUAUAAAACCUCCUAUAAUACCCUCUUAGGCCUAGGAAUCCCCUAAAUACUUUGAGGGUCUUGAUGUAGGCCAAGUGAUCAUAGCUGAUAUCUUGGUUGGAUCAGUCAUCACCCCACUUCUUGUAAUUAUAUGACCCAAUUACAUGUACAAACUAUCUUUAAUAGUCUUGAAAUACAUGAUUCAUAAGGCCUUGAAAAGUUACAGAAGCAUUAGCGAGACUAAAAGGCAUCACCUUAAACUCAUAAUGACCCAAAUGUGUCCUGAAGGCUAUUUUAUACACAUUAUCUUCACUCAUCCUUAUUUGGUGAUACCCAACCCUUAAGUCAAUUUUAGAGAACACUUGUGAUCCACUGAGUUCAUCUAAUAGAUCAUUCACAAAAUGAAUAGGGAACUUGUACUUGAUAGUUAGUUUAUUUAAUUACCUAUAAUCAAUGCAAAAUCUUCAUCUACCAUCCUCCUUUUUUACUAGUAAAACUGGUGAUAAAAUCGAGAUGACUAGGCUGAAUAAUGCCACUGUUUAGUAUUUCUUUUACUUGUUUUUCAAUAUUAUUUUUCUGGAAAAAAUUAUACUUGUAUGGUCUGAUACUGACUGAAUUGCCUCUAGUUUCAAGGGAAUAUAGUGAUGAUGUUGUCUUUUGGAGGUAAUGUAAAUGGUUCUUUAAAAACAUGCUAUUAAUCUCUGCAUGUAUAGUCUUUUCUUCAUUGACCUCCUCUGCAGCAACAGUAAAUAAAUGUGCCCACAACCGCUUCCCCUUUUUAAACCAUUACUUGACAUUAACUGUUGACAUGCUCUACAAUUCUACUACAUUAUAUAUCCCAUUAAGCUCCAAUCUCUUUCACUUAUGAUAUACCACAACCUUACAGGCUUAAAAGUGUAAUAUGAUAGGGUUAUGGUUCAUCAUUCAAUCCUCUUCUAAAAUUAGGUCACAACCUCUCAAGUUAAUGAGUCUAACUAGAUCCUCAAACUCCACACCUUGGAUAUUCUAUUUGAAUUUGGGACAAGAGUAAUGGCUCUUCAUUUUAAUUUUAUUUGCCACAGUUACCCUCAUGGAUAUGGCCUUUUUAAUUACACAACCAAUCUGUUUGGCAACCCAUAUCUAGGAAAAUAUGAGUACUCACAGAGUCAAACAACAAGAUGGUGUAUCAUUUUCUUGGAUAAGCCUCUCAAGUUAAUUGUGUUAGGCACGUCAGUUCAAAAUAAGGUAUUGAUGCUAAUAGCUUCAUCCACCCCUUUAAUAUCUUGAAUUUUACACCCAAGUCUUCCUCCUCCACCAUUAACUCCAGUCGUGUAGACUCAUCAAAUCCUUAUAUGAAUUAAAACAAACAGCAAGACAAUAGAAUGUAAAACUACCAGAGGAUUUACUUAAUUAAGCUUGAGUUUAAACAAAAUCAAUAUAAUCAUUCUUUAUUCAUAAAGAGGUCUGAAUAUAGUAUUGUUAUGAUCCUAAUCUAUGUAGAUGAUAUGUUAGUUACAGGAGAUAGUCUGAAACAAGCUGAAGAAACAAAACAAGCAUUGUACCAGGUAUUCAAGAUAAAAGACUUGAGAGAGCUAAAAUAUUUUCUUGGAAUAGAGUUUGUUAAAUCUAAAGAAGGCAUUCUAAUGAGUCAGAGAAAAUAUUCAUUUGAGCUCAUAUUUGAGCUUGGACUUGCAGUAUAUAAACCAUCUGAUACUCCUAUAGAUACUAAUGUCAAGCUGACAACGAGAGAAUAUGAUGAGUAUACCAAUAUGAAUACAAGAGAAAAUCCAUUGCUAGCUGAUGCCAGCUCUUAUCAAAAGUUAAUAGGAAAAAUUUUGUACCUCACAGUCAGUAGACCUGAUAUCACAUAUAGUGUUCAACCACUAAGCCAAUAUCUUCAAUAGCCAAAGAAAUCCCACAUGAAGGCAUUUUUUGAGAGUUAUGAGACACAUCAACUCACAGCUUGGACAAGGCAUUCUCAUGUCUAGUAAUCUUAUUCAACAAAUGGCUGCCUACUGUGAUAUUGACUGGGCAACAUGUGCUUAUACAAGAAGGUUUGUUACAAGUUUUCUAAUCAAACUAGAAAAUUCAUUAGUGUCUUGGAAGUCCAAGAAACAAACUACUAUUUCCAGAAGCUCUAUUGAAGUAGAAUAUGGAAGCCUAUCCUCAACGGUUCCAGAACUUACUUGGUUGCUAGGACUAUUAACAGAAUCGUAUCAUAAAGUUGAACUACCUACGAAUGUAUUCAGUAACAAAUCAACAUUACAAAUUGUUGGCAAUCCAAUUUAUCUCUUUACUCUAAACCUCACUUCUCCCUUAUCAUCUUCUUCCUCUCAUUUCAAGUGUCAGUAGUUCAUCAAUGGUGAACUGAAAUAGUUCGAAAAGCCUAUGAAAAAACUUCAUUUUUGUUUUCCAUAUGUCAUGUUCAUGGCGCAUUUCAUCAUGUUAAAGUGUGUAACAAUACAGUCAAGCUUAAACUAUGAAGAAAGGAAUAUGUUGUGUUCAUUUAUGUUAGGUUUGUAAUAUAAACCCUUAACUAGUGUAUCUAGAGGUGGAUCAAAAUGUAAAUUUGUUAGGUGUGAUUUGUAAGAUUUUAGUACCGAAUUCAUUUUAUUUUUCAAGUUAUGAAUUUAAAUAUGUAAAAUAUUUGCUGAAAUUUUAGUAAAUUUUCACAUAUAAAUCUAUGUUGUGCGUCAAAUAGUUGAAUGAACUCGUUGUAAAUAUGCUUCGUCUACCAUAUUAUCAAAGCCUGAUACAUUUUCAAGAUUAAGUAUGUGAAUUUCAUUUUACUUUCAAAGUAAUGAAAUUCGAUCCUAAGAAUUCUUUCAACGAUUAACUUAUAAAGUCUUAAGGUUGUGAAUGAAGUUUAUUGAUUGCAAAUAUCCAAAUGCUACCAAUGUGAGACAUGUCUAAUAAGUCAACUUAGGUUUAAAUAUUUAAUGAAAUUUUAUUUGUCAAAAUUUGAGAUUUGAAUCACCAUGUGACCAUGAGGGCCACACGUGAUUCACCCUAAAAAUUUCAGAUUCUACUUUUUGAAGCAUUCAAUAGCCUUCUUUAACAACCUUAGAUAAUUAGAAUGGGACCUCCAUUAUUUAUUGAAGGAUUAAUUUAUAUUCAUCACUUGACCAAUUUGAAUAAUAACAUAAAUUUAUGAUAAUAAUGAUAUACUCUGUACAAUUUCAGAAAUGGGGAGCUGAAAAGAAUAAGGCGUAUGUAUAGCUUACCUCUGUUCUUAUAGAGUAGAGAGAUUGUUUUGAUAGACCCUUAACUGAAGAGAAAUUAAUUUGCCAGCAAUUGAGAUAGCUACCUUUUGAACUAAUAUUUAAAUUUUAGCAUUGUUUAAAAGUAAUCACCUUUUAGGGUGGAAAUAAAAUAAAUUUAGAUAAUAAGUACUUCUAACUAAAAAUAAGAUAAAUUCUGGUACAAAUGCUAGAGUUUGGAACUUUACAAGUAAAAUUCUAGCAUACUAUGCUGAAGUUUGUUAAAUCCCUAUUUCAUGUGAAAUUCGAGUCAAACGUGACGAAGUUUUGAACCUUUACAUAUAAAACUCCAGUACGUUAAUACAACGGAGUUCAAAUUCAAGCAUAGAAUUCUUAAAUUCUCAAUUUAUAAUCACGAAUUUUAUGAAUCUUUUCUUGAAUUUUAAUAUUAGAAUUACAAAUUCCAUGAUAGAAUUCUUGAAUUUUCAUUAGCAGACCAUGAACCCAAAGUUUUCUUUUUUCCUUCAUCAAUUCUUUAGGCCUAAUAUUCAUUAGGAGUCUUUGGAUCAUGAGAAACUUAUAUGUCAAAAAGAAAUUGUGGUAGAAAAACUAUAAUUUUUAUAUACUAAAAUGAAAUAAAUUAAACCUAAAUGUAUAGCAAUAUGAAUAUAGAGAAAUUGUAUAGCAUGAUAAGAGUUUACUUUUUAGAUUUAUCCACCUAAAACUUUCAUUAAGAAUCUCAUCAACAAAUUGAUCAAAAACUAUUUGCUUCUUCCUCUCCCCUCUUUAAAUAGGACAUAAUCAAAAAUAGAAAGUAAGAAAGAAAAAAAAAAAAAAAAAGAACAAGUGGGCACUGGGCAGGUAGUGGUAUGGUGGUAUUUGAAUAUUUUACUUAUCUUGUCUCAAUCUAACAUUCUAGUUAUAUAUAUACAAACUUCAUUUUUUUCCUCCAAAGCAACAUUUGUUUUUCUCUAUGAAACUCCAAAAUACUAAUAUGACCUUCUCUUCCCUUUGAUCUCCAAAUUUUCUUUAGUGCCAUAUACAUAUACUUUAACAAAAGUUUGAGAUCUAGCAAAAAUGCAAAAUCUCAAAACUACAAUAGAUCUUCCCAAAAUCAAGUCAAUCAAAAUGAAAUCAAAUGAAGUUAUACACACUUCCAAUGUCGAAGUGUAUUAUGGGAAUGCACCAUUGGCUAUUCCAUUUAAGUGGGAAGCUCAACCAGGAACACCAAAAGUCAAGAUUCUUGAAACCCCAAUUCCUCCUCUUACUCCACCACCAUCAUAUCUUGAGAAAAAAAUGAAAAAUGCCAUAAAGAAACAAACAAAGGGUAAAUUGUUACAAAGGUUUUUCUUUCUUCCCAAAUUAAACUUGAGAAAAAGUCAUCUACAACAAUCAUCUCCUACUAGUUCUUCUUCUUCAUCAUCAUCAUCGUCAUCGUCAUCAUUUUCUUCACCGCCUACACCUAGGCGUUGGUCAUAUUCUGUUCCCGCAUCUCCAUGCAGAGUUAAACCUAAUUUCUAGAGCCAG
This 7071-nucleotide long non-coding RNA is filed under the name Capsicum annuum. RNAcentral's name for it is "long non-coding RNA (CANN_LNC010563)". The record is from RNAcentral. Lineage: Eukaryota; Viridiplantae; Streptophyta; Magnoliopsida; Solanales; Solanaceae.